AUCACGAAGCAAUGGCAAUCGUUGGAGAUUAUGCAUCUUCCGUGGCUUAUGCUGCAGAGGAGAGUAUUCGAUCUCAUGCUCCAGUUCGAGACAUUGGGUCGGUAGAUAUUGAUUUUGGGAUCAAAGAAUUCAUUAUUCUGCGUGUUGGGCAAACAUUUUGAAUCGGUGACUAUAAGAACGAUAUGGUUCUUAGGCACGUCAUCGACGUUAAAUGCCAAGCUUUGUACAGAGUCUAAAAGUGCAGGUUACACGAUCACUACAAAGUGAUCAAGAAGGAGGUGUCUGACCCCCAAAACCAUCCAUUAUAUCUCUGUAAUCCAGAGGACUGAAAAUUCAUGAUUAAGAAAGUAUGGCGGAAAAAAGCUUUUAAGGCAAUCUUUGUCCUUUUUUAGUAUAUAAUAGACAUUACUAUAGAUGCAUAAAUUAGUAGAAAGAUGUGGAAGCAACAAAACAUGUAAGAUCCUAUUGGCUUGUUCUUUGGUUGGGAAGUACUCGACAAGUUUGUUUUAUGGUUUUUCGCAGAAGAAGUCUAAGAGAGGGAAAAAUGCAUGAAAAUCAUUGAAAUAUAACCAUACUAGCGGCUCCCAAUCAUUUGUAGCAUGAGCAUCCAAGUUUGUAAAAAAAGAAAAUAGAGAGCAGUCUUUUCCAGAGAGGUUCAAGGACACACACAUACAUCAUCGACAUGGAGAGGAAGUAUGGAUAAAUGACAAGGCUUAGGAAGUUCAUGCUGAGAUUGCUAAAAAGAUAGCCGAGUAGUCACAACUCGGUGUCACAAAUCCACAAUCUGAGGUACAAGUUUCCAUUGAUGUGCUUGGGGAGAGAUCAAGCUACUUAAAGGGAUAUUUAUGGAAUUCGAAAGGGCACAUAUGCAACACAGUCUCAAGUAGUCCCAAAUUCAGAGGUAGUUACUCUUAAAGAAGUCGUGGCUGAUCAAGCAAAACUCCUAGCUGAUUAUGCUAAAAAAUUUGAAACCAUGAUGCUCUUCGUGGCUAUGAAGAAUGGAGUUGAUCCAGCUACCAUUCUGGGGUUGAUUUCAAGUAAUGAAAAUGGAGAAGACACUUCGAUUGGACAAGAAGAUGGAAUUUUGACUUAAAUGGAGGUUGAACGUGCCGAUUUUAGAUGUUUUGAAUGGUUUUUGGAUAUUUCGUUUGAUGCAACUAUGGUUGGUUAUUACUGUUGAAAAUGUUUGGAUGCAUAGACAUCUAGAUUAGUUUUUCGAUACAAGGCUGGUGGAGUAAAUUUGUGGAGACAUGGCAGGUGGAGUAAACUAGUUUUUGGAUACAUGGUAGGUGGAGUAAUUUUUUGGUUGUAUUUUGGAUGUUUGGAUAAGUAAGGGAUAAUCCUUUGGCUGUAAUAUUCUAGAUGUUUGGAUAAUCGAUUUUUGGAUUGGAUAUAUUUAAGGUAUUAGAAUGACCUAUCUAU
Molecule: long non-coding RNA, 1422 nt
Organism: Rhododendron vialii
Lineage: Eukaryota; Viridiplantae; Streptophyta; Magnoliopsida; Ericales; Ericaceae
Exons: 4
Source: RefSeq, a predicted model, not a curated record